Molecule: ribosomal RNA, 865 nt
Filed under: uncultured bacterium
Lineage: Bacteria
Description: bacterial SSU rRNA
Rfam family: Bacterial small subunit ribosomal RNA
Source: RNAcentral
UGGCGGCGUGCCUAACNCAUGCAAGUCGAGACGAACCAGUUCGCGGCAUAGCUCGUACGGUAGCGGCGGACGGGUGAGUAACACGUGGGUAACCCCACCUAGGGACCGGGAUAAUGCCUGGAAACGGGCCGCUAAUACCGGGAUACGCUCUCGGCGGCACAAGCCUCGUGGAGGAAAGGUCUCGCAAGCAGACACUCCUGGACGGACUCGCGGCGCAUGAGCUAGUUGGCGGGGUCACGGCCCACCCAAGGCAAUGAUGGGUAGCCGGUGUGAGAGGAUGACCGGCCACAGGGGGACUGAGACACGGCCCUGACUCCUACGGGAGGCAGCAGUGGGGAAUCUUCGGCAAUGGGCGAAAGCCUGACGGAGCGACGCCGCGUGGGGGACGAAGGCCUUCGGUUUGUAAACCUCUUUCAGCAGGGACGAAGCGCAAGUGACGGUACCUGUAGAAGAAGCACCGGCCAACUACGUGCCAGCAGCCGCGGUAAUACGUAGGGUGCGAGCGUUGUCCGGAAUUACUGGGCGUAAAGAGCUCGUAGGUGGUUUGUCGCGUUGUUCGUGAAAACUCACAGCUUAACUGUGGGCGUGCGGGCGAUACGGGCAGACUGGAGUACUGCAGGGGAGACUGGAAUUCCUGGUGUAGCGGUGGAAUGCGCAGAUAUCAGGAGGAACACCGGUGGCGAAGGCGGGUCUCUGGGCAGUAACUGACGCUGAGGAGCGAAAGCGUGGGGAGCGAACAGGAUUAGAUACCCUGGUAGUCCACGCCGUAAACGGUGGGUACUAGGUGUGGGUUUCCUUCCUUGGGAUCCGUUCCGCAGCUAACGCAUUAAGUACCCCGCCUGGGGAGUACGGCCGCAAGGCUAAA